UACGUAGGGUGCGAGCGUUAAUCGGAAUUACUGGGCGUAAAGCGUGCGCAGGUGGUCAUGCAAGACAGAUGUGAAAUCCCCGGGCUCAACCUGGGAACUGCAUUUGUGACUGCAUAGCUAGAGUACGGUAGAGGGGGAUGGAAUUCCGCGUGUAGCAGUGAAAUGCGUAGAUAUGCGGAGGAACACCGAUGGCGAAGGCAAUCCCCUGGACCUGUACUGACGCUCAUGCACGAAAGCGUGGGGAGCAAACAGG
RNAcentral lists this ribosomal RNA (253 nucleotides) under uncultured bacterium. RNAcentral's name for it is "partial 16S ribosomal RNA". It matches the Rfam family "Bacterial small subunit ribosomal RNA", at positions 524 to 776 of the family's 1533-position model. The record is from RNAcentral.